GGGUAUAGUAGCAAUACUAGAGACCGGCGCACGGGUGCGUAACGCGUAUGCAAUCUACCUUAUACAGAGGGAUAGCCCAGAGAAAUUUGGAUUAAUACCUCAUAGCAUAGCAACUUCGCAUGAAGUCACUAUUAAAGUUCCAACGGUAUAAGAUGAGCAUGCGUCCUAUUAGCUAGAUGGUAAGGUAACGGCUUACCAUGGCUACGAUAGGUAGGGGUCCUGAGAGGGAGAUCCCCCACACUGGUACUGAGACACGGACCAGACUCCUACGGGAGGCAGCAGUGAGGAAUAUUGGACAAUGGGCGCAAGCCUGAUCCAGCCAUGCCGCGUGCAGGAAGACGCAUCUAUGGUGUGUAAACUGCUUUUGUACGGGAAGAAACACUCCCUCGUGAGGGAGCUUGACGGUACCGUAAGAAUAAGGAUCGGCUAACUCCGUGCCAGCAGCCGCGGUAAUACGGAGGAUCCAAGCGUUAUCCGGAAUCAUUGGGUUUAAAGGGUCCGUAGGCGGUUUGGUAAGUCAGUGGUGAAAGCCCAUCGCUUAACGAUGGAACGGCCAUUGAUACUGCCAGACUUGAAUUACUGGGAAGUAACUAGAAUAUGUAGUGUAGCGGUGAAAUGCUUAGAUAUUACA
RNAcentral lists this ribosomal RNA (631 nucleotides) under uncultured Flavobacterium sp. RNAcentral's name for it is "bacterial SSU rRNA". It matches the Rfam family "Bacterial small subunit ribosomal RNA", at positions 66 to 701 of the family's 1533-position model. Lineage: Bacteria; Pseudomonadati; Bacteroidota; Flavobacteriia; Flavobacteriales; Flavobacteriaceae. The record is from RNAcentral.